GUCUUAAGGACACAGUGUAAAACACUGGACUUGAUCAGAAAAUAAUUCGAAGAAAUUAAAUCAUUGAAGAUUGUCCAACACUAUGUUCUUGGUCUCGAAUUGCCAUCACUUGGACAAGGUUGAUGUUCUCGCCGCGUCUUUGAAAGUCAAGAAGGAGAUGAUUAUGAGAACGAGUGAUUCUGUCAAGUAUGAGAACAUGACAUUAGGGUCGACGCCAGAGAGGAUUUCUGGGUUGUUCAUGGCGGAUGGGACGCCGAUAUAUUCACUCAUACUCGAUGGAGGUCCAACUACGAGUUUUGAAAUGCUGACUCGGAGAUUGGGUCCACUACUUCUUUGUCUCUCUUUUCAUUACAUUUUGUAUGCUACAAUUGGUUCAGGUUUUGGUUUUUGGUUGGUCAAUGUACUUUGGCUAGUGAUGUGUUAAUGCCUUUUGAAUCCAUCGUUGGAAACAGAGAAACCAAUCGGUGUGAUGAUAUUCAAUACAAAGGCUUGGUGUGCCUAAACUUCGUAGUUGGGUUAAUCGGUUUGCAAAUGCGGGUGAUGCUGCUUCGGAAAUAGCAAGAAACACUGCAUCACGGUUUGUGGAGAACUUAAAGAAAUGGAGCAGAUGGUGUUUGUUUGUCAAUGUCUGAAUCCGAUGACUCGGACUGGUCAAUUGGGUGGUUGGAACCACACGCCUUUGAUUUCUAGAGUGAUGAUGAGGAAGACGAUAGUUUUGUAGUGCUGGUUCCUUACUAUAGAUAUGAUUGCAAGGAGAUGGAGGAGGGCCCAAAUACUCACUUCUCAAGUGCCAUCAAGAACUUCCCAAAUAAGUAUGCUGGUAAGACCCAUUCUAUCAUCUGUAAAAUUUCUCUUUAAUUCUAAGUUUCUAGUUUGUUUUACUUAUCAUGUUUUAUAGAUCUUAUACACGGUUUGGUUGUAUUUUUUGGUUGGAGAUAAUAAUAAUAAUAUUAGAAAAUCAAAAAUGGGAAAAGGAAAAGGAGAAAUAUCUUUUGUUUUGUAGUUUUAUUGUCAUGAAAUGGAUUAUGACAUUUUUAUUUCGCUAAGGUAAGGUUAUGAAAAUUGUUUGAAGUAUAUAAUACCAUCAUACUCAAAAAGAGUAAAGAUAUUAACACCUAAAAAUCUACAGACUGAAGUAGUGAUGUUUUAAUAAAGGGGUAAUAAAGCAGCAAUUUUAUCCUUUUCUGCAAAGUAUUAUAUUCACUUAUGUUUCUUUUUCAUGUCUUUAUGAUAUUUGCUGUUCAUAAAAGAAGGGAAUUGUAUUUUUUUCCUUUUCCCCAAAAGUGAAGUGUUAUCUCACCUACACUCGUCUGAUUUAGUGGUUAAUCUUUACAUGAUAUUGUUUUUUCCUUUUCAUUAUCAAAAUUAUAUUUAUGUUGUGUAACUGGAUGCAGUUAUAUUGGUAUUGGUUUUCCCCGACAAAAUGAAAAUAUCAAUCAAUGCUUGGUAACUAUAAAUAUUAUAUUUGUUAGUUCCCUUUAAUAUCAUGAUAGACAGUGCUUUUGUACCUGUUGGUAAAUUUAUGUGGUUGUAUAACAUAAAUUAAUUUGAUGUCGAUAAUCAAAUAUAUGCUGAUAGAAUUGAUUGAUAAUUUUAUGAUUAAGUUUAAUUGAAAAUAUUUUGUAUACAAAUACAUAUACUGUGAAAUUUUCAAUUAAUUUGUGAUUGUGAUGAUGACAUCAUCAAUGAAUUUCUUUUGGAGUAUUAUGAGAAAAAUUAUGUGUAAAUAACUUUUGUUUGAUUGUAGUAGUAGUGUUCGUGCAAUAUCAACGCAAUCUGGAUCAUCGGAGAUAUUUAAACAUGAUAAUUUAAAUAGCUGUGUCUUCCUUUUAAUUGAACAUAGAUUGAAGAAUCUUUUGUGUUGAUUAUUAUUUUUUAAUAAUUAAUGGAAAGUUAUUUUUAAA
Long non-coding RNA from Camellia sinensis, 1904 nucleotides. RefSeq lists it as uncharacterized. The record is from RefSeq and is a predicted model, not a curated record. NCBI's taxonomy places the organism in Eukaryota, Viridiplantae, Streptophyta, Magnoliopsida, Ericales, Theaceae.